AGCAGCCGCGGUAAUUCCAGCUCCAAUAGCGUAUAUUAAAGUUGUUGCAGUUAAAAAGCUCGUAGUUGAACCUUAGGCCCGUGCGGGUGGUCCGUCCUCAGGGCGAGCACUGCCUCGUUGCGGGUCUCACCUUCUGGCGAGCGUAGAUGCCAUUUAUUUGGUGUCUGCGGGAACCAGGACCUUUACCUUGAAAAAUUAGAGUGCUCAAAGCGGGCUCCGACGCUUGAAUACAUUAGCAUGGAAUAAUGAAAUAGGACGAUGGUUCUAUUUUGUUGGUUUCUGGGACCGUCGUAAUGAUUAAUAGGGAUAGUUGGGGGCAUUCGUAUUCAAUUGUCAGAGGUGAAAUUCUUGGAUUUAUUGAAGACGAACUACUGCGAAAGCAUUUGCCAAGGAUGUUUUCAUUAAUCAAGAACGAAAGUUGGGGGAUCGAAGACGAUCAGAUACCGUCGU
Molecule: ribosomal RNA, 450 nt
Filed under: uncultured Glomeromycotina
Lineage: Eukaryota; Fungi; Glomeromycota
Description: bacterial SSU rRNA
Rfam family: Eukaryotic small subunit ribosomal RNA
Source: RNAcentral